AGUGAACGCUGGCGGUAGGCCUAACACAUGCAAGUCGAACGGCAGCACAGUAAGAGCUUGCUCUUACGGGUGGCGAGUGGCGGACGGGUGAGGAAUACAUCGGAAUCUACUUUUUCGUGGGGGAUAACGUAGGGAAACUUACGCUAAUACCGCAUACGACCUACGGGUGAAAGCAGGGGAUCUUCGGACCUUGCGCGAUUGAAUGAGCCGAUGUCGGAUUAGCUAGUUGGCGGGGUAAAGGCCCACCAAGGCGACGAUCCGUAGCUGGUCUGAGAGGAUGAUAAGCCACACUGGAACUGAGACACGGUCCAGACUCCUACGGGAGGCAGCAGUGGGGAAUAUUGGACAAUGGGCGCAAGCCUGAUCCAGCCAUACCGCGUGGGUGAAGAAGGCCUUCGGGCUGUAAAGCCCUUUUGUUGGGAAAGAAAAGCAGCAGGUUAAUACCCCGCUGUUCUGACGGUACCCAAAGAAUAAGCACCGGCUAACUUCGUG
RNAcentral lists this ribosomal RNA (492 nucleotides) under uncultured bacterium. Its description in RNAcentral is "partial 16S ribosomal RNA". It matches the Rfam family "Bacterial small subunit ribosomal RNA", at positions 29 to 507 of the family's 1533-position model. The record is from RNAcentral.